GGGUGCGAUCAUACCAGCACUAAUGCAUCGGUUCCCAUUAGAACUCCGUAGUUAAGUGUGCUUGGGUGAGAGUAGUACUAGGAUGGGUGAGAGUAGUUAAGUAUUAGAAUUAAUGGGAAUUCCUCGUGUUGUACCCC
Molecule: ribosomal RNA, 137 nt
Filed under: Gossypium arboreum
Lineage: Eukaryota; Viridiplantae; Streptophyta; Magnoliopsida; Malvales; Malvaceae
Source: RNAcentral